CUUUGCUUUGUUUCUAGCCACAAUAUUUUAAGAAUUUUAAAUUUUCAAGUAAUGUUAAAGGAGAGCACAUGAUUUAGUUAAAGGGGACACAAGUUUACUAUGUUUAAGGAAUUCUGUUAUAAUGGAAAUAGUACUAAUUGAAUCAUGGCAUCAUGGAAUGAACACGGGGUUAGGAAUCCGGAGUUCUGGGUCCACAUCCUGGCUCUGGGACAACAGCAUUUUGUAUGUGAACAUUACUUCUGAGAAGCACGAAGUGCCACACACACAAAUGCAAUAUGUUAUAAUUAGUGGUGGAAGGAACAGAGAGUACAAUUGCAGAUAAUUUCUGAAACCUCGGCCAAGAACCAGAGCCUGGUCGGUGCCGGUGAUUUCAGAAAUGAAUCCAGUGCCGGUGCUUGUGUGAAGGAAGGAGACUGAUCCUCUGGAUUUGCAGAGUCCUGGAAAAUACCUUUGGUGAUGAAAAACAUCUAUUUGGACAAGGCAGCCUCCAGUGGGGAGCUGUGGGUUUCCGAGGUGACUGUCUGAGGGCGGAGACAGGACCCCUGAGCAGUGUCCUCAGCCUCCGCCACCUCACGUCCCUGUGCUGCAGCCACAGGACUUUUCCCACUCUGAGCCCACUGGGCAGGUUCUGCUCCUCCACCUGCCUUCGCAGUGCUUCCCCCUCUGCCUGGACCGCACUUGAGGGGUACAAUGAACGGACUGUGGAAGACAGAGUUUAUUUUCGUAAGGCAGUUUCAUGUUUUCAGGUAAUCAGUUGGCAUGUAUCUAUUAAGAAUGGUUUUGCUAGUACGUUUUCAACAUUUAGGUUGGAACAUAAAGUGGCCUUUGCAGAAAUCAUUUUAUGUCUCCCUCGACCCCAGAUUUUAUGUAAGUCCCCGUUGACACCCCUGCUCAAAGCUGCACAAGUCCCUUUGGAGGAUGUUAUAUGAUUUUAAAGGGUCACUGAGAUUAGGACACAGAGGAGGAAGAAGACAAGAAUGGUUGGAAAUCACCUAGGGCAAAGCAAAUUCAUGCCAAAAAAGAUUUUGGGGGAGGAGCUGAAUGGUACCACUAAUGCCUCCAACAUCCUGCUUAAUAAAACUUUCAUACGCAGCCAUAUUUCCCAAGUUUCUCAAGGACUGCUUAAGUGGGGACCCCUUCAAACUAGGUGGGGACUUAUUAAAGUCCAAGGAGAUGAUGUUUAUUGGCUCUGCGUGGUCAGCUACGUCUGCAGGCUGUCAGGGAACGCAGCUCAUUGCCUCUUGGGUGUCUGUCCCCAGCACACGGGGCACUGAUGCUUUGGGAACAUCCUUCCUCCCCAACCCCCAUCCUGGAUUCUGGUCUUGAACCAAGCAUGUGGCCAGCCUGGGAAUAAAAACACUGUAUCUGACCCUUGGACCACAGAUUCUUCCCCUCCAGGAAGAAGAAAGCCAAGGGGACUGGUCAUAGGAGAGGACAAAGCUGGGCCGGGGCUGUGUUCUCAUCCCUCGCUGCUGCCCCUGACUCCUCUUGCCCAAGCACUGGCUCUCUCGCUCAUUGGUUUCAUUUUUUAGUCUGAGAGAUGCUGUGACGUGAGCUGACUGAACAGAGGCAGGGACCCUGGCUUAGGUGCUGUUGAAUUCCCAGCACCAGCCACCUGCUGGCUGUUUGCUGACAGUUUGAUGAAUAAAUUAGUAACACUGCUUUCCAUUCA
Molecule: long non-coding RNA, 1672 nt
Organism: Myotis brandtii (Brandt's bat)
Lineage: Eukaryota; Metazoa; Chordata; Mammalia; Chiroptera; Vespertilionidae
Exons: 2
Source: RefSeq, a predicted model, not a curated record